AGUAGAGACGGGUUUUCACCAUGUCAGCCAGGCUGGUCUCAAACUCCUGACCUCAGAUGACCUACCUGCCUUGGCUUCCCAAAGUGCUAGGAUUAAAGGCGUGAGCCACCGUGCCCGGCCAGAGUUCUCACUUUCAAAGAAGGAAGUUACAAAUAUAAAAACAAAAACUAGAACCAAACUAGAAUUAGAAGUGGAGGUAUCAGUGUGAGCUUAUAGUUUUCAAUAACAGAAAUUAAGAAAUAAAUACAUGUGUGUUACAUGUAUACAUUUCCCGGGAGCAGUGAACCUAAGUAUGGGCAACCAUGUCUACCAUCAACAUUUGCCCCCCCCAACCCCCCCGCUUUUUUUUUUUAAAGAGACAGGGUCUUGCUCUGUUGCCCAGGCUGGAGUACAGUGAUGUGAUCAUAACUCACUGCAACCUUGAACUCCUGGGCUUAAAUGAUCCUCCUGAGUAGCUGGGACUACAGGCAUGUGCCACCACACUUGGCCUUUUUUUUUUUUUUUUUUUUUUUUUAAAGAAAUGGGGUCUCACUAAGUUGCUCAGGCUGGUCUUGAACUCCUCAGCCCCCUAAAGUGCUGGGAUUAUACCAUGCCUGAUUCAUAUUUUGGCUUUUAAAAAGCAUUCUCCACUAAAAAGAACUAUGCUGCCUAGAGAAAAAGCUCAAGGGCUAGUGAGGGUACAAAAUAAGCCAGCCAGGAAUAUCUUCUCAGGGCAGAAAGUUACGUAGUUCUCAAAGAAUGACAGAGACAUCAAAAAGACACAAAAGUCAGCCUGAAGAAACUUCCCUUGACCAGAUAUGAUACAAUUUUGAGCAUCAAAACUAAAAUGGUAUUAACAGAUUAUAUAACCCAUCAAAUAAGACAAAUCCACUAAAUUUUUUUUGGAGUGGGGAGGGGGCAGUUGAAAGACAGAGUCUCACUCUGUCUCCCAGGCCAGAGUGCAGUGGUGCGAUCUUGGCUCACUACAACCUCCGCCUCCUGGGUUCAAGCGAUUCUCGUGCCUCAGCCUCCCAUGUAGCUGGGAUUACAGGCGUGAGCCACCACGCCUGGCUAGUUUUGCAUUUUUAGUACAGACAGGGUUUCACCACGUUGGCCAGGCUGGUCUUGAACUCCUGACCUCAAGUGAUCCACCCACCUCAAAGUGCUGAGGUGGGCGGAUCACCUGAGGUCAGGAGUUCGAGACUAGUUUCACCAAUAUGGUGAAGUCCUGUCUCUACUAAAAAAAAACACAAAAAUUAGCCAGGUGUGGUGGCGGGCGCCUGUAGUCCCAGCUACUCAGGAUGCUGAGACAGGAGAAUCGCUUGAACCCGGGAGGUGGAGGUUGCAGUGAGCCCAGAUCAUGCCACUGCACUCCAGCCUGGGUGACAGAGCGAGACACUCUCAAAAAAACAAAAACAACAAAAGAGGCUGGGGUGGGAAGAUCACUUGAGCCCAGGAGGUAGUGACUGUGCCACUGCAUUCCAGCCUGGGCAACAGAGCAAGACUCUAUCUCAAAAAAAAAAAAAAAAAAAAAACAGAACACAAUACCACCUUUUUGUGAUAUUUCUGCCAAAGGUUCAUAACCUGAUUCUAAUCCUGAGGAAAUAACAGACAAAUUCAAAUUAAAGGACAUCCUAUCAAAUAAACUGGUCUGUAAUCUUCAAAAGUAUUGAGGUUAUAAAAGUUGAGGAAAUAACUACAAAACUGCAUCAGAUUAAAG
RNAcentral lists this long non-coding RNA (1699 nucleotides) under Homo sapiens (human). Its description in RNAcentral is "non-protein coding lnc-PIK3R3-6:1". The record is from RNAcentral. Lineage: Eukaryota; Metazoa; Chordata; Mammalia; Primates; Hominidae.